RNAcentral lists this ribosomal RNA (440 nucleotides) under uncultured bacterium. Its description in RNAcentral is "bacterial SSU rRNA". It matches the Rfam family "Bacterial small subunit ribosomal RNA", at positions 338 to 795 of the family's 1533-position model. The record is from RNAcentral.
CCUACGGGUGGCAGCAGUGGGGAAUAUUGCACAAUGGGGAAACCCUGAUGCAGCGACGCCGCGUGAGCGCAGAAGUAUUUCGGUAUGUAAAGCUCUAUCAGCAGGGAAGAAGAAUGACGGUACCUGACUAAGAAGCUCCGGCUAAAUACGUGCCAGCAGCCGCGGUAAUACGUAUGGAGCAAGCGUUAUCCAGAUUUACUGGGUGUAAAGGGAGCGUAGGCGGUGCUAUAAGUCUGAUGUGAAAGCCCGGGGCUCAACCGCGGGACUGCAUUGGAAACUGUAGGACUGGAGUGUCGGAGGGGUAAGUGGAAUUCCUAGUGUAGCGGUGAAAUGCGUAGAUAUUAGGAGGAACACCGGUGGCGAAGGCGGCUUACUGGACGACAACUGACGCUGAGGCUCGAAAGCGUGGGGAGCAAACAGGAUUAGAUACCCGUGUAGUC